UCAAGCUGAUAAGGGCGCAGGGUGGAUGCCUUGGCACUAAGAGCCGAAGAAAGACGUGAUAAGCUGCGAAAAGCUGCGGUGAGGAGCAAAUAUCCAUUGACCCGCAGAUAUCUGAAUGGGGAAACCCGGCUGAGCAAACCUCAGUCAUCCAUACGCCAAUACAUAACGUAUGGAGGGGAACCCGGGGAACUGAAACAUCUAAGUACCCGGAGGAAGAGAAAGAAACAUCGAUUUCCUAAGUAGCGGCGAGCGAAAGGGAAAGAGCCUAAACCGGAGCGCGUGCGUUCCGGGGUCAUGGACUGCAUAAGUGAGUCAGAAGCUAGAAGAAAGGUUUUGGGAAAGCCUGCCAGAGAGAGUGAAAGCCUCGUAUUUGAAAGCGGAAGACAGCGGCAGUAUCCGGAGUACCACGAGACACGAGAAACCUUGUGGGAAGUCGGGGGGACCACCCCCCAAGGCUAAAUACUACUUAGUGACCGAUAGCGCAUAGUACUGUGAAGGAAAGGUGAAAAGAACCCCGGGAGGGGAGUGAAAGAGAACCUGAAACCCUGUGUCUACAAGCUGUGGAAGCACCCUACGAGUGCAACCGCGUACUUUUUGUAGAACGGUCCGGCGAGUUAUGUGGUGUGGCAAGGUUAAGCACGGAAAGUGUGGAGCCGAAGGGAAACCAAGUCUUAACUGGGCGAUAAAGUCACAUAACAUAGACCCGAAACCGGGUGAUCUAUCCAUGUCCAGGUUGAAGCUGCUGUAAAAGGUGGUGGAGGACCGAACGCACAUCCGUUGAAAAGGGUGGCGAUGAGGUGUGGAUAGGGGAGAAAUUCCAAUCGAACUCGGAGAUAGCUGGUUCUCCUCGAAAUAGUUUUAGGACUAGCCUGUCAGGAGUCUGCUGGAGGUAGAGCACUGAAUUUUUGCGGGGGCGUCAAAGCCUACCAAUGAAUAUCAAACUCCGAAUGCCAGCCAGAUGCUCUGAUGGAGUCAGACUGCACGAGAUAAGUUGGGUAGUCAAAAGGGAAACAGCCCAGACCACCAGCUAAGGUCCCAAAGUGCGUGUUAAGUGGAAAAGGAUGUGGGAAUUCGAAGACAACUAGGAUGUUGGCUCAGAAGCAGCCAUUCAUUCAAAGAGUGCGUAACAGCUCACUAGUCGAGAGUUCCUGCGCCGAAAAUGUCCGGGGCUAAAACACGACACCGAAGCUGUGGAAUCAUGCUUGCAUGAUUGGUAGAGGAGCAUUCGCUGAGAGACGAAGCUGUACCGAAAGGAGCAGUGGAUUUCAGUGAAGAGAGAAUGCCGGAAUGAGUAGCGAGAGAUAGGUGAGAAUCCUAUCGGCCGAAUAUCUAAGGUUUCCAGAGUAAAGCUGAUCUGCUCUGGGUAAGUCGGGGCCUAAGGCGAGGUCGAAAGACGUAGUCGAUGGAUAACAGGUAGAGAUUCCUGUACUUCAUAAUAUCAGAAAUGUGGGGACACAGAGGCGAAGCACAAGCCGGGAAUGGAAAGACCGGUGCAAGCUAAGGAGCAGUAUGAGAGGCAAAUCCCUCAUACAAUGCGAGAGAGUGAAGCGUAGCGAACAUAAGGGUAGCGAAGUGUGUGGAGAAGCUGUCAGGAAAAGCCGCUAUUGUGUAUUAUGAACCCGUACCGUAAACCGACACAGGUGGAUGAGGAGAGAAUCCUAAGGCCGACGGAAGAAGCAUUGUUAAGGAAUUCGGCAAAAUGACCCCGUAACUUCGGGAGAAGGGGUGCCUGCGCAAGCAGGUCGCAGAGAAUUGGCCCAAGCAACUGUUUAGCAAAAACACAGGUUUAUGCGAAACCGAAAGGUGAAGUAUAUGAGCUGACGCCUGCCCGGUGCUGGAAGGUUAAGGGGAGUGCUUAGACUUUGGUCGAAGGUGCGAACUUAAGCCCCAGUAAACGGCGGCCGUAACUAUAACGGUCCUAAGGUAGCGAAAUUCCUUGUCGGGUAAGUUCC
Molecule: ribosomal RNA, 1952 nt
Filed under: human gut metagenome
Description: bacterial LSU rRNA
Rfam family: Bacterial large subunit ribosomal RNA
Source: RNAcentral